This 440-nucleotide ribosomal RNA is filed under the name uncultured bacterium. RNAcentral's name for it is "partial 16S ribosomal RNA". It matches the Rfam family "Bacterial small subunit ribosomal RNA", at positions 338 to 795 of the family's 1533-position model. The record is from RNAcentral.
CCUACGGGGGGCAGCAGUAGGGAAUAUUGCUCAAUGGGGGAAACCCUGAAGCAGCAACGCCGCGUGGAGGAUGAAGGUCUUCGGAUUGUAAACUCCUUUUGUUAGAGAAGAUAAUGACGGUAUCUAACGAAUAAGCACCGGCUAACUCCGUGCCAGCAGCCGCGGUAAUACGGAGGGUGCAAGCGUUACUCGGAAUCACUGGGCGUAAAGAGCGCGUAGGCGGGAUAGCAAGUCAGAUGUGAAAUCCUAUGGCUUAACCAUAGAACUGCAUUUGAAACUGGUAUUCUAGAGUAUGGGAGAGGUAGGUGGAAUUCUUGGUGUAGGGGUAAAAUGCGUAGAGAUCAAGAGGAAUACUCAUUGCGAAGGCGACCUGCUAGAACAUAACUGACGCUGAUGCGCGAAAGCGUGGGGAGCAAACAGGAUUAGAUACCCUAGUAGUC